This 207-nucleotide ribosomal RNA is filed under the name uncultured bacterium. RNAcentral's name for it is "partial 16S ribosomal RNA". It matches the Rfam family "Bacterial small subunit ribosomal RNA", at positions 568 to 774 of the family's 1533-position model. The record is from RNAcentral.
CACGUAGGCGGAUUUGUAAGUCAGGGGUGAAAUCCCGAGGCUCAACCUCGGAACUGCCUUUGAUACUGCAAAUCUCGAGUCCGGAAGAGGUGAGUGGAAUUCCUAGUGUAGAGGUGAAAUUCGUAGAUAUUAGGAAGAACACCAGUGGCGAAGGCGGCUCACUGGUCCGGUACUGACGCUGAGGUGCGAAAGCGUGGGAAGCAAACA